CUAAAUAUGAAAUCAAGUACUCUUUACUUAUUAAGUUCCAUAAGGUAAUAUAUUUAAACAUUAUGUGUGUUUUCAUAAAUUGGUAAAUGGAAAAAGGUUUAAUAUUGCUUUGUGUCUGUGUCUUUGCUAAAACAAGGUUACUAAGUGUUAAGAUUCUAUCAUGUGUAAUUUAUAUACAAAGAGUAGAAAAAUUUUCAGUUAGGUUUCAAUUAUAGUAUUAUAGUAUCAUAAAAAACAUGAAAGUCUUUCAUCUUAUUAAAGUGGAGUAAUUUGUCUAAAUCAGAAAUUUUAUAAGAGUUGUUUCAAAAUGUGAAUUUAUAAAAAGGGUUAAUGGUUAAAAAAGAGAUAGAAAAAGAUUCAAGAUGUGGAAAUAUAUUUUAAUAUAAAAGGUUAAAGGAAAAAGAAAUGUUUCUAGAUGAGAUAAUCUCUGUGUGGUAAAGUAAAAAGUUGUAAAUGCCAUUUAAAAAGAUUUUGAGGAAACUAGACUUACUUUAAAAGCUUGAGAAAGGAAGAAAGAAGAAAAAGAUAUUUGUACAUGGCAGAUUGAGACAAAGCUUCUCAAUGGAGUUAAAAAAAAGGCCUUUGGUUGAAGGGCAGCCAUGUAAACUAACAUUAAAGCGAUUUAAACAGAAUCUAAGCCUCGUUUAAAAGAGUGAAGUUGUAGGUGGUGAAAAAGUACAUUUAAAAGUACAGUAUAGAUGAUAAUUAAAAGGCUUUAAAAGGUUAAAUUGAAGGUGGUUAAAAUGCCUUCAUGAUGGAGGAAAGAAGCUUAAUCUUAAAGGCAUUACUUUAAAAAAAAUGGGAAGAUAAUAGGAUAAAAGAUAUUUAGAUAAAGAAGAUUAAAAAUUUAAAGUGAAAAACUUUAAAGACAGAAGUAUAGAAAGUUAAAAAGAAAAAAGAUAAAGAAGAUGUAGAAAGAUAAAAAAAAUGUAGGAAGACAAGAAUUUUAAACCCACA
RNAcentral lists this long non-coding RNA (957 nucleotides) under Marmota monax (woodchuck). The record is from RNAcentral. Lineage: Eukaryota; Metazoa; Chordata; Mammalia; Rodentia; Sciuridae.